GCCCACAAUUGUGAAGCCCAAAUAGAGAUUCUAAAGUGCGUCCCGCGUAAAAGUGAGCCGUUACGAUUCCCUCCAAAUUUAAACAAAACGAAACAGACUUUGCACAACACAUCACUCAUCCUUCCCUUUCCAUGGAAGAAACAAUAGAUGAAGAGACGGCAAGCAGAGAGAGAGAGAGAGAGAGGGAGAGAAUCGCUUUUUGCGGCUCCGACAAGCUAUUCUUUGCUCUACCCAUCACAUUCUUCUUCUAUAUGCUUUAUAUAUAUAUGCAUUAUAGAAAGUCCACAAGGAACCAGUGAAAACCCAUUUCGAUUUCAAAUCUCCUGCAUUCACAAUCAUGUCUUCCACCCCUCCACCUCCUCCAACAACCAAUAAUAGCAUUGGCAUUGGCAUUGGCAACAGCAACAGCAACAGAAACAGAAACUCUCCGCUAUAUUGGUGUUACCAAUGUCACCGGACUGUCAGAAUUCCCUCUGAAAACCCAUCUGACCUCGUCUGUACUCACUGCUCCGGACAAUUUUUAUACGAAAUCGACGUAGCCAGGCCUACGCUUGUUUUUGAUUUCACCCAAUUCGAUCCCUCCCCUGAAGCCCGCAUUCUCGAAGCCCUCACUCUCAUGAUCGAUCCACUUAUUGCCCACCAAAAUCAAAAUCAGUUCCCAGAUAUAGGACUUCAACCGCCUUGGCGGCGGCGUCAUGGUUUUGGAAGUCGGGGUUGGCACUGGCCGUGGAGGCGAAACAGGGUUGUCGAUGAGAGUGAUGAUUGGGACCCAGAAAGUGGGAUUCUUGCUCGUCCUCGCUCCUGGAUUAUCCUCAGACCUGUAGGACCUCCACCUGUUCGACAAAAUUCCCAACUCGAAGGUUUUGUUCCUCCGGGGGCUAAUCCUCAGGAUUACUACAUUGGGCCUGGGCUAAGAGAGUUGAUCGAUGAACUGACUCAGAACGACAGACAAGGCCCUCCCCCGGCCCCUGACUCGGAAAUCAACGCUCUGCCAACUGUGAAAAUCACCAAGGACCAUCUAGUCGACGAUUCAAAUUGCCCUAUUUGCAAGGAAGAAUUUAAAGUUGGUGGGGAAGCAAAAGAGCUGCCUUGUAAACAUGUGUAUCACUCUGACUGCAUUGUUCCUUGGUUGAGGCUUCACAACUCUUGUCCUGUUUGCCGGCACGAGCUGCCAGUUCCGUUUGAGAACAGAGUUGAGGACGAGCUGCAAGUUCCGUUUGAGAACGGGGUUGAGGAUGAUGAGACUGAUGAGGAUUCUUUUGAUGAAGCAAUUUCUAGAUACAGGCCACACAGGCGGAACAGGAGGUGCUUGAGGUUAAGACAGUUAGCCUCCUCUUUAUGGCCCUUCCGCUCAAGGUAUCGCCGACCACUUGAUCCCCAAGCAGCUAACUCAUCGUCGCAUUCAUGCUUUAUUCUUUAGCCCGUGAUGUUUCAGUCAUCAAUGUCCGAAGAAGUUUAUGAACAUGAAAUGGCAGCGGUUAAACAUAUCACGGCUGGUAGAUAAUACAGUAUGCUUAUUUUCCAUAUGUUGCUUUAUACGAUUAUUUUACUCAAGUAUCAACGUUCAUGGUGGAAGUGAUUUCUUGUAAUCGGCCAUUGCAAGAAAAUCCCACAGGACUUCAACUGUUUGGUGUACAUUGAUUGCUAUAAAGAAUAUCCUCAGGAAAAAAAUUGGAGGAAGGAAAAAAAAAAGUUGAACCAAACUGCUUCUGUUAGGAUCAUUGUAUCUGCUGUAAUGACCGAUUAGAUGUUUGAUUUCAACAUUAACAAAUUAAAAAAUCAAUAUAAAAAAAGUUAUUGCAGCAGGAUUAUUGUCAUACUGGUUGAUAAUCAAGCAACUACGCAUUGUUACUUCUAAA
RNA transcript from Camellia sinensis, 1859 nucleotides. It is a transcript of the gene named E3 ubiquitin-protein ligase RZF1, with no coding region annotated. Lineage: Eukaryota; Viridiplantae; Streptophyta; Magnoliopsida; Ericales; Theaceae. The record is from RefSeq and is a predicted model, not a curated record.